This 446-nucleotide ribosomal RNA is filed under the name uncultured bacterium. Its description in RNAcentral is "partial 16S ribosomal RNA". It matches the Rfam family "Bacterial small subunit ribosomal RNA", at positions 338 to 795 of the family's 1533-position model. The record is from RNAcentral.
CCUACGGGUGGCAGUAGUCGAGAAUCAUUCACAAUGGGGGAAACCCUGAUGGUGCGACGCCGCGUGGGGGAAUGAAGGUCUUCGGAUUGUAAACCCCUGUCAUGUGGGAGCAAAUUAAAAAGAUAGUACCACAAGAGGAAGAGACGGCUAACUCUGUGCCAGCAGCCGCGGUAAUACAGAGGUCUCAAGCGUUGUUCGGAAUCACUGGGCGUAAAGCGUGCGUAGGCUGUUUCGUAAGUCGUGUGUGAAAGGCGCGGGCUCAACCCGCGGACGGCACAUGAUACUGCGAGACUAGAGUGAUGGAGGGGGAACCGGAAUGCUCGGUGUAGCAGUGAAAUGCGUAGAUAUCGAGAGGAACACUCGUGGCGAAGGCGGGUUCCUGGACAUUAACUGACGCUGAGGCACGAAGGCCAGGGGAGCGAAAGGGAUUAGAUACCCCUGUAGUC